RNAcentral lists this ribosomal RNA (253 nucleotides) under uncultured bacterium. RNAcentral's name for it is "partial 16S ribosomal RNA". It matches the Rfam family "Bacterial small subunit ribosomal RNA", at positions 524 to 776 of the family's 1533-position model. The record is from RNAcentral.
UACGUAGGGGGCAAGCGUUGUCCGGAUUUAUUGGGCGUAAAGAGCGUGUAGGCGGCUUGACAGGUCUGCUGUGAAAACUCGAGGCUCAACCUCGAGAUGUCGGCGGAAACCGUCUGGCUAGAGUCCGGAAGAGGAGAGUGGAAUUCCUGGUGUAGCGGUGAAAUGCGCAGAUAUCAGGAAGAACACCCGUGGCGAAGGCGGCUCUCUGGGACGGUACUGACGCUGAGACGCGAAAGCGUGGGGAGCAAACAGG